RNAcentral lists this ribosomal RNA (254 nucleotides) under uncultured prokaryote. Its description in RNAcentral is "partial 16S ribosomal RNA". It matches the Rfam family "Bacterial small subunit ribosomal RNA", at positions 524 to 776 of the family's 1533-position model. The record is from RNAcentral.
UACGAAGGGGGCUAGCGUUGCUCGGAAUCACUGGGCGUAAAGGGUGCGCAGGUGGUUUGGCAAGUUUGACGUGAAAGCCCCGGGCUUAACCCGGGAAUGGCGUUGAAAACUGCUUGAACUGGAGGGUUGGAGGGGGGACUGGAAUUCUUGGUGUAGCAGUGAAAUGCGUAGAUAUCAAGAGGAACACCAGUGGCGAAGGCGAGUCCCUGGACAAACCCUGACACUGAGGCACGAAAGCCAAGGGAGCAAACAGG